CAGAUUCGCAACCGUGCCCUCAUCCAGGUAAGUGUGGGGGUCAGGCUGGCGCACGGCGGGCGGGCAUACGGGGGGCUGUGGAGCUGACUUCCCUCUGCCCUGCAGUAUUUCAGCCCCUACGUGUCAGCCGACAUGCAUAGGAUGGCAGCAGCCUUCAAUACCACGGUGGCCGCCCUGGAGGAUGAGCUGACGCAGCUGAUCCUGGAGGGGCUGAUCAGUGCCCGGGUGGAUUCACACAGCAAGGUGGCUGCGGGCUGCGGGGCGGUGGGGGCAGCGGGGGUGAGCCUGGGCCCCACUGAGCCUGUGCCUGCACAGAUCCUGUACGCCCGGGACGUGGAUCAGCGCAGCACCACCUUUGAGAAGUCUCUGUUGAUGGGCAAGGAGUUCCAGCGCCGCGCCAAGGCCAUGAUGCUGCGCGCAGCUGUGCUCCGCAACCAGAUCCACGUCAAGGUGGGCUGGCGUCAGGGUGGGCGGGCGCAUGGCGUGUGGGGCCUGGUGGCUGAGCUGCUGCUUGUCUCCCCUGCAGUCCCCCCCAAGAGAAGGGAGCCAGGGGGAGCUGACUCCAGCCAACAGCCAGUCCCGGAUGAGCACCAACAUGUGAGGGGUGGACCUUGGCCUCCAGGACAUCUGCACCCCCUCCCCACCUCCACGGACCUCCUGACCUCCAGGCGGCUCAGUGCUGCCUGCGGCCCAGCUAAGGGGCCUGGGCGCCGGGUGCCACCCAGCCUGUGUGCCCUUGCUGGGGCUGAGGAGGCAGGCGGCUGCUAGUUGUGGCCCUUCCUGGAAGGAGAGGCCUGCAGGGCUCGACCCUGUGGGUUUCUGUCCCCAGGGAGCAGACUGUGUGGCACCCAGGCCCAGCGGCACCAUUUCCCAGACCCCUCCUGUUCCCGCCUCAGUCAGGUGCAGACAAGUGGGCGGUGUCCAUUAAAGAGCAGACUCAGUGUU
This 945-nucleotide small RNA is filed under the name Pongo abelii (Sumatran orangutan). RNAcentral's name for it is "retained intron". Lineage: Eukaryota; Metazoa; Chordata; Mammalia; Primates; Hominidae. The record is from RNAcentral.